Molecule: ribosomal RNA, 253 nt
Filed under: uncultured bacterium
Lineage: Bacteria
Description: partial 16S ribosomal RNA
Rfam family: Bacterial small subunit ribosomal RNA
Source: RNAcentral
UACGAAGGGGGCUAGCGUUGCUCGGAAUCACUGGGCGUAAAGCGUACGCAGACGGCCACGCAGGUCGGGUGUGAAAGCCCCGGGCUCAACCCGGGAAUUGCAUUCGAAACCAUGUGGCUCGAGUGUGGGAGAGGAGAGUGGAAUUCCUGGUGUAGCGGUGAAAUGCGCAGAUAUCAGGAAGAACACCCGUGGCGAAAGCGGCUCUCUGGAACGGUACUGACGCUGAGACGCGAAAGCGUGGGGAGCGAACAGG